Molecule: ribosomal RNA, 253 nt
Filed under: uncultured bacterium
Lineage: Bacteria
Description: partial 16S ribosomal RNA
Rfam family: Bacterial small subunit ribosomal RNA
Source: RNAcentral
UACAGAGGUGGCAAGCGUUGUUCGGAAUUACUGGGCGUAAAGGGCGCGUAGGCGGCCUUCUAAGUCGGACGUGAAAUCCCUCGGCUUAACCGAGGAACUGCGUCCGAUACUGAAAGGCUUGAAUCCGGGAGAGGGAUGUGGAAUUCCAGGUGUAGCGGUGAAAUGCGUAGAUAUCUGGAGGAACACCGGUGGCGAAGGCGGCAUCCUGGACCGGUAUUGACGCUGAGGCGCGAAAGCUAGGGGAGCAAACGGG